Molecule: ribosomal RNA, 445 nt
Filed under: uncultured bacterium
Lineage: Bacteria
Description: bacterial SSU rRNA
Rfam family: Bacterial small subunit ribosomal RNA
Source: RNAcentral
CCAGACUCCUACGGGAGGCAGCAGUGGGGAAUAUUGCACAAUGGGGGAAACCCUGAUGCAGCGACGCCGCGUGGAGGAAGAAGGUCUUCGGAUUGUAAACUCCUGUCCUUGGGGACGAUAAUGACGGUACCUGAAGAAGAAGCCCCGGCUAACUACGUGCCAGCAGCCGCGGUAAUACGUAGGGGGCAAGCGUUAUCCGGAUUUACUGGAUGUAAAGGGAGCGUAGACGGCAGUGCAAGUCUGGAGUGAAAGGCGGGGGCUCAACCCCCGGACUGCUCUGGAAACUGUACGGCUGGAGUGCAGGAGAGGUAAGUGGAAUUCCUAGUGUAGCGGUGAAAUGCGUAGAUAUUAGGAGGAACACCAGUGGCGAAGGCGGCUUACUGGACCGUAACUGACGUUGAGGCUCGAAAGCGUGGGGAGCAAACAGGAUUAGAUACCCUCGUAA